GCUGCCCUGGCCCGGCCGCGCGGGCCGCUCAGUGCGGGGCACCGCAGUGAAAACGCUCCGUAACGUUUCGCGGUUGGGGUAACUGAGUAAACCGAGAGUCCCGGGCUCGUCCGUGAAGCCUCAACUGUCGAAACCAACGGGACGCUUCUCAAAACGAUUUGGUGGCGCUUUAGGGAACGCGCUCUGGAGGCAGAACGCCUCCGCGCCCGACUCGAGGCGGAGCGGGGCCGUGGGCACGCCUCUGAGGAACUCCUUGGGAUUCAGAUUUAAAAGGAUGACGGAGUUCUUGCCCGUUUUCCUCCAUCGAAUAGGAAGCAAACCCGAGGUCCCGGACUCUUCUCCAGAUCCUAAAGCGAACUCACGCCUUCUGCUCAUCCCAUUAACCGGAUUGACGACGUUAACACCUAUUGAUGACUCUUUGAUGGAGUCACUAUGACGUCAUACUCCAUGUAGUCGGUAUGACGUCAUAGACAAAUUCUCAAUGUAGUCACUGGCGUUAUAGACAAAGUCUUAAUGUCGGUAUGGCGUCAUAGACAGUCUCAAUGGCGUCGGUAUGACGUUAUAGACAAAUUCUCUUUUUUUUUAUUCUGUUACUAACUGUAUGAAGAUAAGCGAUGGAAAGGAUGUCCCGAGGGGUCCCUCCCACCUCUGAACUGCUCUUAUUUUUCCUUGGUGACUCCUCUAUAAAAUGGUCUUGCUACACAUAUCUGACAUAAAAGUAUUAAAGAACUCACUGAAUUAGUACUCUCAUCAAGUUGGACUAUAACUCCAUGGUAAUCAUUGAUUCUUCUCAAUGUUCUAUGGUAAUUGAGUUGAUACUGUGUUAUUGCCAGGAAGCAUAAUUUUGAAUUUAUCAGCUGCUUUGCCACCAAAAACAUAUGCACCAACAUAUUGGAGGAAGUGGUUUCUUAGCACUUAGUAUGAACCAUUUCUCUCCUGCCACAACUAAACACAAAGAUUGUCUUUCUCAUAUUUGUGAAGCAACUGAGAAACUGCAUCAAUAACUUUAUGCCUGUUUCCUUAACAUAUUUUAGGGACUUAUAUGCUAUAUUUUCAAAUGUCCUUUAAUUUUGAAGGUAUUAAUCUUUCUCUUGUUGGAACUGCAUUCUCUUUUUCUUUAAAAUGUAAAAUCUGUUUUCUGAUUAUUAGAGUAACAUUUUUUUCCUCAGUGUUUCCACUGCACUUCCAAAUCUAGCAAGUAAACCUGAACACAGAUCCUGUAUUUUUCACUUUAUUAUUUCUUUUUCUUCUAAUAAUAAAGCAACUUCUUUGA
Molecule: long non-coding RNA, 1273 nt
Organism: Canis lupus familiaris (dog)
Lineage: Eukaryota; Metazoa; Chordata; Mammalia; Carnivora; Canidae
Exons: 2
Source: RefSeq, a predicted model, not a curated record